Long non-coding RNA from Oncorhynchus tshawytscha (Chinook salmon), 584 nucleotides. Lineage: Eukaryota; Metazoa; Chordata; Actinopteri; Salmoniformes; Salmonidae. The record is from Ensembl.
GUGAGUGGAGGUAUGAAGGAGGAGAGGAGAGGGUGAAUGGAGGUAUGAAGGAGGAGAGGAGAGGGUGAGUGGAGGUAUGAAGGAGGAGAGGAGAGGGUGAAUGGAGGUAUGAAGGAGGAGAGGAGAGGGUGAGUGGAGGUAUGAAGGAGGAGAGGAGAGGGUGAAUGGAGGUAUGAAGGAGGAGAGGAGAGGAGAGCAGAGGGUGAAUGGAGGUAUGAAGGAGGAGAGGAGAGGGUGAAUGGAGGUAUGAAGGAGGAGAGUAGAGGGUGAGUGGAGGUAUGAAGGAGGAGAGGAGAGGGUGAAUGGAGGUAUGAAGGAGGAGAGGAGAGGGUGAAUAGAGGUAUGAUGGUGGACUGUAUGUUUGUGAUCAUGUUCAUCUGUGUGUAUGUCCGUGAGCCUCCUUGUGUGUGAAAUAGGUGUCCGCAGGCUGAGAUCACACACAGCGUGAGGCUCCAGUUGUCUGACCCUUGUCUGGGAGGAUGAGCUCAUCUCUUUAGACCAUAACAACCCUGUCUCUCUCUCUCGCUCUCUCUCUCUCUUUUUCUCUCUAGCUCUCUCUCGCUCUUGUUCUCUCUCACGCUUAG